This 440-nucleotide ribosomal RNA is filed under the name uncultured bacterium. RNAcentral's name for it is "bacterial SSU rRNA". It matches the Rfam family "Bacterial small subunit ribosomal RNA", at positions 338 to 773 of the family's 1533-position model. The record is from RNAcentral.
CCUACGGGUGGCUGCAGUCGAGAAUCUUCGGCAAUGGGCGCAAGCCUGACCGAGCGACGCCGCGUGCGGGAUGAAGGCCUUCGGGUUGUAAACCGCUGUCGUAGGGGAGGAAUGGCCGGUGGGUAAUCUCACCGGUUUGACCUAUCCUAGGAGGAAGGACGGGCUAAGUUCGUGCCAGCAGCCGCGGUAAUACGAACCGUCCAAACGUUACUCGGAAUCACUGGGCUUAAAGGGUGCGUAGGCUGCUCGGAGGGUGGGAUGUGAAAUCCCCCAGCUCAACUGGGGAAUAGCGUCCCAAACCGCCGGGCUUGAGGGAGACAGAGGUCAGCGGAACUGAUGGUGGAGCGGUGAAAUGCGUUGAUAUCAUCAGGAACACCAGUGGCGAAGGCGGCUGACUGGGUCUUUCCUAACGCUGAGGCACGAAAGCUAGGGGAGCGAAC